AGCGGGGAGCUUGUAUGACAGGCUGAGAGGAAGGUAUGACCUUCGACCCAUAACCUGAUUUGGAUAAUGCCAACGUAGGGAAACGGAAAAUUUA
This 94-nucleotide non-coding RNA is filed under the name uncultured Muricomes sp. RNAcentral describes it as "TPP riboswitch (THI element)". The stretch from base 3 to 81 matches the Rfam family "TPP riboswitch aptamer (THI element)", at positions 11 to 88 of the family's 105-position model. Rfam says of the family: Vitamin B(1) in its active form thiamin pyrophosphate (TPP) is an essential coenzyme that is synthesised by coupling of pyrimidine and thiazole moieties in bacteria. The previously detected thiamin-regulatory element, thi box was extended, resulting in a new, highly conserved RNA secondary structure, the THI element, which is widely distributed in eubacteria and also occurs in some archaea. Lineage: Bacteria; Bacillati; Bacillota; Clostridia; Lachnospirales; Lachnospiraceae. The record is from RNAcentral.